RNAcentral lists this ribosomal RNA (641 nucleotides) under uncultured bacterium. Its description in RNAcentral is "partial 16S ribosomal RNA". It matches the Rfam family "Bacterial small subunit ribosomal RNA", at positions 8 to 680 of the family's 1533-position model. The record is from RNAcentral.
AGAGUUUGAUCCUGGCUCAGAGUGAACGCUGGCGGCGUGCUUAACACAUGCAAGUCGAACGAUGAAGCUGGUGCUUGCACCAGUGGAUUAGUGGCGCACGGGUGAGUAAUGGAUAGGAAUCUGCCUCACAGAGGGGGACAACAGUUGGAAACGACUGCUAAUACCCCAUACACCCUACGGGGGAAAGCUUUAGCGCUGUGAGAUGAGCCUAUCUCCCAUCAGCUAGUUGGUAGGGUAAGAGCCUACCAAGGCAAUGACGGGUAGCUGGUCUUAGAGGACGAUCAGCCACACUGGAACUGAGACACGGUCCAGACUCCUACGGGAGGCAGCAGUGGGGAAUAUUGCACAAUGGAGGAAACUCUGAUGCAGCAACGCCGCGUGGAGGAUGACGCAUUUCGGUGUGUAAACUCCUUUUAUCAAGGAAGAAAUUUGACGGUACUUGAUGAAUAAGCACCGGCUAACUCCGUGCCAGCAGCCGCGGUAAUACGGGGGGUGCAAGCGUUACUCGGAAUCACUGGGCGUAAAGCGCGCGCAGGCGGUUAGAAAAGUCAGAUGUGAAAUGCUACGGCUUAACCGUAGAACUGCAUCUGANACUCUCUAACUAGAGUGUGGGAGAGGUAAGUGGAAUUAGUGGUGUAGGG